Dipodomys spectabilis (banner-tailed kangaroo rat) is the source of this 136-nucleotide long non-coding RNA. RefSeq lists it as uncharacterized. The transcript is spliced from 3 exons. NCBI's taxonomy places the organism in Eukaryota, Metazoa, Chordata, Mammalia, Rodentia, Heteromyidae. The record is from RefSeq and is a predicted model, not a curated record.
GAGUUAUAGGAAAGCCUGGGCUACAUAGUCAGAUCCUAUCUCAAAAAACAAAAUUCCUCCCUCAUAUGCAAAAAAGUUAUCAUUAUACUGUUAAAUAUUGAUACGAUCAUAAGAAUACAAAUUCUACACAAUUUGA